UCAUUGGCCAACUCCUGAGUGGUAGGGACUGUCUGGCAGCAGCAGUGGCCUGAUCUGCAUGCCCCUCACAGUGAUGGUGGGGUUUCCUGGCACAAAGAGACCUGCCUCUAUGAUCUCAUAGAUGCCAGAGUUUUGGAUCAUCCACAUGCUUGGGUUUUCCCCACUCCAGCUGACUUCCACAUCAAUGAAGCAUUCUGUGAGGACUGUAGUUCCCUGAAGCAGGAUGCUUCCUGUUGAAGAACUGUUCUCCAUGCAGUGGCAUCCAGCUAUACUUCUCACCACCUAGGGGAAAACACAGUGGCAGUACACCUCUUCACUGUCAUCUCACUGCUGAAUAAAAUCCAUUCUGCUUGACACAAUGGAGCACAAAACGGGAAGCUCCCUCCUUGCACAAAAAUCUUCUCGGCACGAAAUCCUGCUUUUGUGUGCAGCUGAACUUGCCUCCUUGCCUUGGAAAGAGAGUACAUGUGGUGUGGUGUGCAGGCAGGCCUAGAGGUUAGCUGCAGGAGCAGAUGUAACCCUCCAAUUUCUGCUAGGCAGCUAGUCUUCCACAGUGGUUCACCCCUGCUUUGAUGGUUACCAGGAGUAGAUGGAGCCUUCAGAGCAGGAAAGCAGCUACUUUUCUUCCAUGUCUUCUGCCAAAGCAUGUCUUCUGUCAGCAAUCCUCAUCAACGAAUCCCUCCUGUGUUUUCUCCAAGCAGUGAGCAAGAAAAUGAACGAUCCAAAAACAGCUAGGAAGGACUGGAGAAAGAAGUGUAUUCCUGGGCACAUUUGCAUUUGCUGAUGUGCAGAUGGGUGCUUGAAAUCUAUAACUGUGUGUAGUAUGAAUUUUGAAAAAUGAGAAAUAAUCUUAAGAGUUGGAGGAAAAGGGUGGCUAGUCCCCACAAAUGAGUACACACCUGUUUGGUAGAGGAGAGCUGUAACACAUUUGUUCCCUGACAUUUUCCUCUGCAAAUUUUUAUAUUUCUUAAUCAGUGGACAUUCUCUAUUUUUGAUAUUUACCAUGAAUUGUGGCAGCAGACUCAAUGACAUAUCAGUGGGCUCUUGUCUGCCUGGUGUUCACCUUGCAGUGUCAUGCCAUGCUUCUGAGGGCGGUUCCACGCAGCCCUUUAACCCGGGAGGAAUUCGAUUUUAAACACACGAAUGCACCCAUGUUGGAGUCUGCACAUGCCCCAGAAAGUGCAUUCUUUUUUUUCUUUUCUUUUUUUUUGGGGGGGGG
Molecule: long non-coding RNA, 1219 nt
Organism: Anolis carolinensis (green anole)
Lineage: Eukaryota; Metazoa; Chordata; Lepidosauria; Squamata; Anolidae
Exons: 6
Source: RefSeq, a predicted model, not a curated record